This 433-nucleotide unclassified non-coding RNA is filed under the name uncultured Russula. Its description in RNAcentral is "sequence contains ITS2". The stretch from base 1 to 154 matches the Rfam family "5.8S ribosomal RNA". Lineage: Eukaryota; Fungi; Basidiomycota; Agaricomycetes; Russulales; Russulaceae. The record is from RNAcentral.
AACUUUCAGCAACGGAUCUCUUGGCUCUCGCAUCGAUGAAGAACGCUGCGAAAUGCGAUACGUAAUGUGAAUUGCAGAAUUCAGUGAAUCAUCGAAUCUUUGAACGCACCUUGCGCCCCUUGGAAUUCCGAGGGGCACACCCGUUUGAGUGUCGUGAACAUCCUUCAACCUUUCUUGGUUUCUUAACCGGGGAAGGCUUGGACUUUGGGGGUCUUUCAUUGCUGGCCUCUUUGAAGCCAGCUCCUCCUAAAUGGAUUAGUGUGGUCUGCUUUGCCGAUCCUUGACGUGAUAAGAUGUUUCUACGUCUUGGGUUUCGCACUGUCGCUUUAGACCCCGCUUCUAACCGUCUUGCAUUCAAGACAGAGUUUUAAACCUUGACCUCAAAUCGGGUGAGACUACCCGCUGAACUUAAGCAUAUCAAUAAGCGGAGGCU